UGUAAUUCCCAGUACUGGCUACGCAGGCAGGCCAAGGCUUCCUCAGAGAUAAUCCUUUCCAAUUUCCAAAUUUCCUGAGCAUUGACCAUCUACCAGACACUGCCAGACAUAUCAGAGAUUAAAAAGUCCAACAAGCCCCUGCGCCCUCUCCUCAAUGAGCUUGUGACUGAGUGGGGUGACAACAGCCACAACACCCACUACAACACAGUGGGGUGUGUUCAUGGAGAACGUCCUGGGAACACAGAGGAGGGCUGUCCAGACCAGGAACGCUUCCAGGAGAAGGGUCAGAAUGUGGUCACCUGUGGGCUCCUUAGCCCCUUCCCAUCAGCCCAGCACCUCUCUGAACCAUGACACCCAGCUGCACAUGGCCUAUGGACCCUUACACUCUACCACAUGGAUGAGGAACCCUGGCAUGGAAGGAGCACCCUUCUAUAGGAAUCCCAUGCCUCCUGGCAUUUGGGUAAUGAUAAGGAGGAAGGAUCUAGCAGAACAAAGGGACUGAGAACAAGCCUGUGCAGCAUGGCAGAGCCCAGACGUCACCCAGUGACUCAGCAAAUCCAGGACGAAGAACGCUAGAGGAUCCAUUGAUAACCGCCCCCCAAGACAGUGUGUGACUCCGGAGGAGGAGGGUGGGAGAGGGAAGCUGAACCUUGGAUCCUUCUGAUAAAUAAAUCGUUUCUCAGUGA
This is a non-coding RNA of Ictidomys tridecemlineatus (thirteen-lined ground squirrel), 686 nucleotides long. Lineage: Eukaryota; Metazoa; Chordata; Mammalia; Rodentia; Sciuridae. The record is from RefSeq and is a predicted model, not a curated record.